UUAUCCUUGAGUUUACUUGAAAAUAAAGGGUGUAUUAAACUGUUCUCAUCAGCUUAAUAUCCGAUACGCUCUCUAAUUGAGAGCCAGAAUAUUAACCUGAUUUUUGGAACCAGGUGGAUUUUGAGGGGCUCGCUCCUUCUCCACCGCGGGUUAGCCCGGCAUUGCAGUGCCGCUGGGAGUAGCCCAUAACUC
This 192-nucleotide small nuclear RNA is filed under the name Melipona quadrifasciata. RNAcentral's name for it is "U2 spliceosomal RNA". It matches the Rfam family "U2 spliceosomal RNA". Rfam says of the family: U2 is a small nuclear RNA (snRNA) component of the spliceosome (involved in pre-mRNA splicing). Lineage: Eukaryota; Metazoa; Arthropoda; Insecta; Hymenoptera; Apidae. The record is from Rfam by way of RNAcentral.